RNAcentral lists this long non-coding RNA (2192 nucleotides) under Hordeum vulgare. RNAcentral describes it as "long non-coding RNA (HVUL_LNC008265)". Lineage: Eukaryota; Viridiplantae; Streptophyta; Magnoliopsida; Poales; Poaceae. The record is from RNAcentral.
GAGCGGAGCCCACGUCGUGUCCACUCUAUCGCGCGUUGUGCGUAUAUAUGUGCAUCUAUUUUUUUUAAGCUAUAAAUAAGGUCGGAGAUUGAUCCUCACAGGUUGACAGCAGAUCGCAUUAGGGCUACCCGGCUGCUGCUCGACCGGCCGGCGAUGGCGGCGGCCCUUCGGUGUGUGGCAAGGAGGCUCGUCGGCGAGGAAGUGUCGCCACAGGUGGUGUCGGGGAAGGUUGCGACCAGUGUCUUGACGCCAUCGUAUCGCCGCUUCAGCUCCGGCCCCGCAACAAGCGGGCUGGCGCGAGCCGCGCAGGAGAAGAAAGACAACCCAGAGCUGAAAGAAAAGCUCAAGCGUUUCCGCGUCAUGUAAGUAUUAAUUACUUCCUUCGUCUCAUAGUAGUAUAAGACAUUUUUAGCAGUAUAUAUUAGUAUCAAAAAGAUCUUACAUUAUGUGAUGAAGGGGGUAUUUCCUGCUGGAUGCAAUAUUUGCUGAUAUACCUCAACACACAACGACACACUUGACAAUUUGUCAAGAGUUACCCUAAACCCUUUUUUUUAGAAAAGGAGGUUAAACCCCAACAUACAUCUAUCUUUAUUAAUUAUUCAAUAUAGGUCUAACAAAAACAUACAUCAAACCAUCCGAAGUCACCACUCACACCUACAAAACUUGAUAAUGUGGAGUGCUCUCACUCCCCAUAUCUAAAACCGGAGUCAUCACCGAUCCAUCCGCAUAACGUAUCGGAACCCACAGUCGGUGCAACAAACCUAAAGCGUACACCACAUGCACAUAUUUUAGAAGCCGUCAUCAUCGUCGGACCGUUGACCCAUCUUCAGGAGAGAGAUGGGUAUCAUCCUUGUCAGUCUGUCAUCCGUCGACGCCCCCACGACGCCACCGCCCCGCGCUCGUCAGUCCAGACGCGAAGAUUCUGGAAGAUCUGUCGUGUGUAGCACUUGCCAACCAGGCAUGACACAGCGUAGCACCUGUCGGCCAGGCAUGACUUGACAUCUCCACCGAAAGCUCCGUGCAAGAUGAAGCCGCUCCACCUCCUGCCUCUGUCUUCCAGCUCUGCUCCACAGACGAUGCUCCCAAGAAAAAAACGACAUCGCAGUACCGCCAUCGUCCGGUAUGAAAGACCAGAUCCUAGGGUUUCCCCCAGAGCAGCACGAGUGGGUCGACAAUGGUUACACGACGAUGCCUUCAUCAAGGUAACGACACAGAACUUCGCCAUCGACUCGGUUUUCACCGGCAACUAUGUCUUCCCGGCUCAUAGCCAGAACUAGAUGGCGGAUCUCGAGAUCUGACCAUCCAGCAUCUCGAGAACCGACAACCUUCGACGGAGGAGAUACAGGGAGGGCGGGCCGCCACCCCAUCCCAACUCGCCGGAUGAGCUUCAGUGUUAGAGGGUCCAGAUUGGGUCCCCACGGGCGCCACAACCUUGACCGCUCGGAGCCAAGCGUCGGUUAGCCGCCGACCACACGUCGUAUCCCUAUCCCACAAGCGAGCGGCAGCCAGAGAGCGUCCCGCCGAUGCAUACAACCAUAUUAGUAUGAAUAUCAAGAUAAACAUGCUCUUCAGAAUUUUUUAAAUGAGUAUCAAGAUAUUUCUUGACGAGUAUUUCCACCACACAUCAAACUUCAUCAUCAAUAAAUGAGGAAAAACCCGUGUGCAUCACGUGUCAAUUCUAGUAAUUGAACUAGGAUCGUUAGUCUGCACAACCGCAUGCCCAACCACUGAACCAAGGCUCUCUUUGCAGUUACCCUAAACCCUAAGUGAUACUUUGUAAGUAGAAGAAAAACGCAACAUGUAACUCUUGACAAAUUCUGAAAACAGUCACAAAUAAAUAAAUAAUAGUAGCAUGAAUCUCAGUGCAAUCAGGAUUUGUUUUUUUUUUUCUAAUAGUGUUUUGAGGAAAAAAUAAUCAUCCCACUCAUAUAUUUCUCAAUCUUGAUGUGCAUGUAGGUCCAUGGAGCCGAGGACCAAAAGAGAAAUCAGGAACCUCGUGAUUCUUACUGCCACUCUCGGUGGUUUGGUAUAUGCUGAAAAACGCAUCAAAGAUUCUAGAUACUAGUUUCGACAUCAAGUUUGAUAGGAGAUUCUUUAAUUUGGAUUUGUAAAUAAGUCCCAGUAGCGUCGUGUUUGACAUGCAAUCGGUGUCGUGUUGGAUGCAAUGCUAAGUCUGUGAUCUCCUAUGUAAG